UUGGCAACAGAAGCAAUGAAAGUGGAACUGAAAACCAAGGAGGAGCUGAAGCCCUGGGAGCAGCACUCUACUGUGAUCACCAUUCCUCACUUUGACUACAACGCCCCUCUUCUCUCCUCAGUCAUUCCCACUCCGGAUUCCUCAUCACCUGCCCCAUCAAGAGGGAGAAGAGUGCAACAAAAGAAGCCAUGUCAAUUCUUGAAAAGAAAUGAAUGAGUUUCAGUUAUAUUUGAAGUCCUCUCCAAUGCCUGUAUCAUUUUUAUUUCUUGGACCUCUCUUGUUGCAAAAGGAAGACAAAUGAUGAACCAACUUGGAGAAUGGGGAGGUGUGCAUCUGGUGCUUGCAAGAUUCUAUUCUUUUGACUUCACGGAGUUUUUAUAAAAGCUGUGUGCUGAAAUAGGGCUUCAAACUGAUGUUGGUAUAUUGAUACAUUAUGCAUUCCAUUCUUUUUUUAUGAAUGCCA
This is an RNA transcript of Coffea eugenioides, 463 nucleotides long. RefSeq lists it as uncharacterized. The transcript is spliced from 3 exons. The record is from RefSeq and is a predicted model, not a curated record. Lineage: Eukaryota; Viridiplantae; Streptophyta; Magnoliopsida; Gentianales; Rubiaceae.